ACAAGGCGUUGGGGAUAAAUACUCCACCGUAUAAAACGGAGAAGCAGGCCCCUAUAUACUCUGUCUUAAGGUCUACCUUUCCCCUGCCUUUCACCCCCCCACCCCCCACCCCCACAAUAACACAUUCAAAAGCACCAUUUAUCAGAAUGAAAUCAUCAUUGUAAUAAUCAUCAUGCUGUUUUCAUCUACUCCACUAACAACUUGUUAUUUUUAACAACUCAUCCUAUUUCAAUUUCCAAAUCAAUAUUUCAGUAAAUGAUAAUUGCUGAAUCAAUAGAUGGAUCAGAGGAGUAGCUUCCAGAUUUGAGGGGAAUGUUGUCUGGCUCGAAGUCAUUAUCUCUUCUCGAUCAUUAUAGAUCGAACCAAUCCAAUUUUAUAUAUUCAAUCUAGUUUAAAAUAUAUGUGAUUACGAUGAUGAUGAGAUAGUGUCUUCGGACCAGGCUUCAUUCCCCCCAAUUUGGAAACAAAAAUUGCAUUACAUAAUUCUCUCCGUCUCUGAGGAAAUUUCUUGAGAAGAUGAGUUAACGUCACAAGUGUAAGAUUGACAUAUACGCUCACUCUUCUCAGACUACACUUAUGAAAUUAUAUUAGACAGUUGUUAGUGAUCAUCGAUAUCUAAGUCUUAGUUUCUCUGGUGUCUACCAACAAUAAUGGAAUUCUAUGAGCUGUAAUUUGCAUUUGGUAUGCACAUGGUAUAGAUAGAUUGUAUAUCAGUACAUAUAUUAAAAUCGUGUAAAUUGUAGUGGAGGGUAUCGUGGUUUGAAGAUUUUAUGGAACAUAAAUUAGACAUACAUUCUGCUGUAUGGAUCAUAAACCUUUUGAUUAUCUCUCAUCUACAUAUUCAUUUUUGAUAAA
This is a long non-coding RNA of Solanum pennellii, 855 nucleotides long. RefSeq lists it as uncharacterized. The record is from RefSeq and is a predicted model, not a curated record. NCBI's taxonomy places the organism in Eukaryota, Viridiplantae, Streptophyta, Magnoliopsida, Solanales, Solanaceae. The transcript has 2 exons.